AGAGUUUGAUCCUGGCUCAGGACGAACGCUGGCGGCGUGCUUAACACAUGCAAGUCGAACGAGGUUGAUUCCUUCGGGGAUCAAUCGAGUGGCGGACGGGUGAGUAACGCGUGAGCAAUCUGUCCCGUAAAGGGGGAUACCAACUGGAAACAGUUGCUAAUACCGCAUAAGACCACGGUGUCGCAUGGCACAGAGGUAAAAGUGGAAACACGAUACGGGGUGAGCUCGCGUCCCAUUAGGCAGUUGGUGAGGUAACGGCCCACCAAACCUACGAUGGGUAGCCGACCUGAGAGGGUGACCGGCCACAUUGGGACUGAGACACGGCCCAGACUCCUACGGGAGGCAGCAGUGGGGAAUAUUGGGCAAUGGGCGAAAGCCUGACCCAGCAACGCCGCGUGAGGGAAGAAGGUUUUCGGAUUGUAAACCUCUGUCCUGAAGGACGAAGGAAGUGACGGUACUUCAGGAGGAAGCCCCGGCUAACUACGUGCCAGCAGCCGCGGUAAUACGUAGGGGGCGAGCGUUGUCCGGAAUGACUGGGCGUAAAGGGCGUGUAGGCGGCCAUGUAAGUCCGGAGUGAAAGUCCGCUUUUCAAGGGCGGAAUUGCUUUGGAGACUGCGUGGCUUGAGUACAGAAGAGGUAAGCGGAAUUCCCGGUGUAGCGGUGAAAUGCGUAGAGAUUGGGAGGAACACCAGUGGCGAAGGCGACUUACUGGACUGUAACUGACGCUGAGGCGCGAAAGUGUGGGGAGCAAACAGGAUUAGAUACCCUGGUAGUCCACACUGUAAACGAUGAAUGCUAGGUGUAGGGGGUAUCGACCCCUUCUGUGCCGCAGUUAACACAAUAAGCAUUCCGCCUGGGGAGUACGGCCGCAAGGUUGAAACUCAAAGGAAUUGACGGGGGCCCGCACAAGCAGCGGAGCAUGUGGUUUAAUUCGACGCAACGCGAAGAACCUUACCAGGUCUUGACAUCCAUUUAAAGCCAUAGAGAUAUGGUGUGAGCUUGCUCGAAAUGAGACAGGUGGUGCAUGGUUGUCGUCAGCUCGUGUCGUGAGAUGUUGGGUUAAGUCCCGCAACGAGCGCAACCCUUAUUUUCAGUUACUAACACGUAGAGGUGAGGACUCUGAAGAGACUGCCGGGGACAACUCGGAGGAAGGUGGGGACGACGUCAAAUCAUCAUGCCCCUUAUGACCUGGGCUACACACGUGCUACAAUGGCCACCACAGAGAGGGGCGAACCCGCAAGGGGGAGCGGAUCUCAAAAAAGUGGUCCCAGUUCGGAUUGUGGGCUGCAACCCGCCCACAUGAAGUCGGAGUUGCUAGUAAUCGCGGAUCAGCAUGUCGCGGUGAAUACGUUCCCGGGCCUUGUACACACCGCCCGUCACACCAUGGGAGUUGGGAGUGCCCAAAGUCGGUGAGGUAACCGCAAGGAGCCAGCCGCCUAAGGCAAGACCAAU
This 1452-nucleotide ribosomal RNA is filed under the name uncultured rumen bacterium. RNAcentral's name for it is "bacterial SSU rRNA". It matches the Rfam family "Bacterial small subunit ribosomal RNA". The record is from RNAcentral.